RNAcentral lists this ribosomal RNA (429 nucleotides) under Pseudomonadota bacterium. RNAcentral describes it as "Proteobacteria bacterium partial 16S ribosomal RNA". It matches the Rfam family "Bacterial small subunit ribosomal RNA", at positions 355 to 776 of the family's 1533-position model. The record is from RNAcentral. Lineage: Bacteria; Pseudomonadati; Pseudomonadota.
UGGGGAAUAUUGGACAAUGGGCGAAAGCCUGAUCCAGCCAUGCCGCGUGUGUGAAGAAUGUCUUCGGUUUGUAAAGCACUUUAUGUUGGGAGGAAGGGCAGUAAGCGAAUACCUUGCUGUUUUGACGUUACCGACAGAAUAAGCACCGGCUAACUCUGUGCCAGCAGCCGCGGUAAUACAGAGGGUGCAAGCGUUAAUCGGAAUUACUGGGCGUAAAGCGCGCGUAGGUGGUUCGUUAAGUUGAAUGUGAAAGCCCCGGGCUCAACCUGGGAACUGCAUCCAAAACUGGCGAGCUAGAGUAGGGCAGAGAGAGGUGGAAUUUCCUGUGUAGCGGUGAAAUGCGUAGAUAUAGGAAGGAACACCAGUGGCGAAGGCGACCACCUGGGCUCAUACUGACUCUGAGGUGCGAAAGCGUGGGGAGCAAACAGG